This 72-nucleotide transfer RNA is filed under the name Bacteriophage sp. RNAcentral describes it as "tRNA-Met". It matches the Rfam family "tRNA". Rfam says of the family: Transfer RNA (tRNA) molecules are approximately 80 nucleotides in length. Their secondary structure includes four short double-helical elements and three loops (D, anti-codon, and T loops). The record is from RNAcentral.
AGCAGGGUGAUGCAGCGGCAGCAAUUCAGUCUCAUAAACUGAAAGUCGGCGGUUCGAAUCCGUCCCCUGCAA